GCCCUGCUGCCUCACAGCGUGGCCGGAGGAACUCAGAGGGCAGAAGUGCGUCUACCAGUGAUUACGAUCGUGCUCCCCUGACAAGUACGUGCUCAGUUCCAAUCACCACAGUUCCUCGGCUCAACGUACAAACUCAUUGGGAACUAUAACCACCCUACUUUUGGUAGAGGAUGGUUUCGCCCAAUAUGGCAGCCACUCUCGUCCUUCUCCCGUCGGGCGCUACGGCGAAGGACUAAACUAUUUAUGACGCCGAUCGGAGGUACCAGAAGUCAGCUUAGUAUUCAGAAUUGUGUGGAAGCAUAGCUCAAAGAUUAAUACUAGAAAAAAUUACUCGUCUACUGACUGGGCACAAGAAUGGACGAUUCCAAAAUACAAAAGGAAUUCCUGGUAAGCCAGAGAUGGCCAGCACUCCUAGAAAGACGCUCUCUAGCGCAAUACAAAAGUAAAUGAGAGUUGCUUUCAUCAGAAGCCUGGGCCCUCGGACGCGGGAGCGAGCGCGAACCACGUGCUCGGGGCCGGGGCGGGGCCAGGAGCUGGAAGCUGCCCCCGGGGAAUAUUGCUGGAGCAUUGUCUCGUUAUUCUGGAAAGAAAGAAAAGACUCAAGCACACCAUGGAUGAGCCUUGAGGACAUUAUGCUAAGUGACUAAGCCAGACGGAAAAGGACAAGCACUAUAUGAUUCCAGUCAGAUGAGGUCCCUAGAGGAGUCACUUCAUAGAGACAGAAGUCUUUUCCUAGGUGAAUCGUCCCCUUUGGGUGUUGGGAGUCGUGGACAGAAUUAAGGAAUCCGCAGAAGAAACACCUCGCCUCCAGGUGGCGAUCUCGGCCCGCCCUCUGCAGACUCACGCGCAGUCGUAAGAACUAAUGCCAGCUUGCCCUUACGAUGCAGAGCUGUAAGGAACGUCACAACCAGUCCUGACGUUGACACGAGCCACCGAUCUUCGAAUCGCCGGGGUUUUACACAGCCUCACCUGUGUUUGCCUGUUAAUGUUCACAAUUAGUACAGUAGCCUCUGCAACGCCUUUUCUCCUCGCAAAUGAUGUUUUCAAGCUCUGUCCAUCUUGGCACGUUCUGUUCUAGCUCAAAUGUUGCAUGAAUACCCUGUAAUGUAUUAUUCAUUCCACACUGACAUCAAAGUGGGUUGUUUGGGGGGUCUUUUUGGUAUUAUAAAUAGUGCCACAAUGAUGAGUCUUGUAUUUGUCUCCACAAGCGAUAGUUUAGAGAACAUGACCAGAAGUGGAAUUUCCGGGUCAGAAGAUAUGUCUACAUUUCAGUUUAUUACAUUAACAAAUUGUCCUCCAAAGUGUCGAAACCAAUUUUCACUCUAGCAGCCUAGGAAUAUUUGUUUCUCCCCAUCUCGGGAGCAUCUCGUCGUUUGAAUUUGCAUUUCCCUGAUGUAAGUAGAUUUCUGAUUUAAGCAGAAAAAGAAAUUAUGAAAAGCAACUGGGAUCUCCAGGUGGGCUGGGAAACCGGGUUCAAAGCUCGGCAGAUGAAGUGGGCAGCUCAUGCCUAGAGCUGGCCGGUGAACACAACGCUGUCCCAUCCCUGUGUCCCUGUGUCACAGUCACACAUGGCACUGUGGACAGCAGCCCUGGGUGCUGGUGGAAACGCACAGCCUCUGCUGCCCUUAGACGUGGGGCACAGGUCCUGCAGCGGCCAUGAGUUGUCACCGUCAUGGACGCCCCCUGCUGCAUGACCCCAGCUCCCUUCGGCUGUGAGCCUGGCUGGCUGCAGCUGACAUGUCACCUUCUGCAUGGGAAGAGACUUUCUCAAAAGAGGAAUUCUUCAAACAUAGAAAGAAAGGCUCAGAUGCUGAAUGUCCAAAAAAUAAUUACAAACGUCCAGUAUACCUAACUAACAGUAAAGCUGAACAUCUUUUUAUAUGUUUAUUGGCCUCUCAGGUUUCCUUUUCAGUGAAUUACAUAUCCUUUGCCUCCUUGGGGUGGUUCAUCUUUUUCAUAUUGAAGUGGAUGAGUUCUUUAUAAAUCCUGGAUUAUAACCUUGCAACCUAUUGUAUGUGUUAAAGUACAUUCUUCCAGCCUGUGGCUUAUCUUUUCACUUGUUUAUGGCGUCUUUCAUGAUAAAAGCGUGUCAUGCUGGCUCUUAGAAUCAUCAAUAUUUUUCUUUAUUGCUUGUAUUUUGUGUACCUCCUUGGUUUGAGAAUGUGACUAAAUGGGUUAACUCUUCUGCUGAAAACAACUGAAAUGCUGGAUAAAAUGUAAAAGCCAUCUUAUUAAAAUCAUUGGA
Long non-coding RNA from Rhinolophus ferrumequinum (greater horseshoe bat), 2245 nucleotides. RefSeq lists it as uncharacterized. The transcript is spliced from 6 exons. The record is from RefSeq and is a predicted model, not a curated record. Lineage: Eukaryota; Metazoa; Chordata; Mammalia; Chiroptera; Rhinolophidae.